RNAcentral lists this long non-coding RNA (229 nucleotides) under Elaeis guineensis (African oil palm). RNAcentral's name for it is "long non-coding RNA (EGUI_LNC075191)". The record is from RNAcentral. Lineage: Eukaryota; Viridiplantae; Streptophyta; Magnoliopsida; Arecales; Arecaceae.
ACCGCCAUAGUGACUUGCAAGCAACUCACUACACUUAGACACUGGACUACCUGAAUUUUUAAUUCAGUGAUGGAAGGCUGCUGGGUGUAGUCAAGUACUUGAUUUGUCGGUGCGUGUGUCAAGAUGGGAUUGACCACUCCAGUUCAGAAGCUGUGUACAGUCGUGUUUCAAUUUAGCAAAACCUUGGCUAGGGUAGUCCUAGUGAGGAGUCAUAGGACUGUUUGAGUUG